AUACGUAGGGUGCGAGCGUUGUCCGGAAUUACUGGGCGUAAAGAGCUCGUAGGUGGUUUGUCGCGUCGUCUGUGAAAUUCCGGGGCUUAACUCCGGGCGUGCAGGCGAUACGGGCAUAACUUGAGUACUGUAGGGGAGACUGGAAUUCCUGGUGUAGCGGUGAAAUGCGCAGAUAUCAGGAGGAACACCGGUGGCGAAGGCGGGUCUCUGGGCAGUAACGGACGCUGAGGAGCGAAAGCAUGGGUAGCGAACAGGAUUAGAUACCCUGGUAGGCCAUGCCGUAAACGGUGGGCGCUAGGUGUAGGGGUCUUCCACGACUUCUGUGCCGUAGCUAACGCAUUAAGCGCCCCGCCUGGGGAGUACGGCCGCAAGGCUAAAACUCAAAUGAAUUGACGGGG
Molecule: ribosomal RNA, 398 nt
Filed under: uncultured bacterium
Lineage: Bacteria
Description: partial 16S ribosomal RNA
Rfam family: Bacterial small subunit ribosomal RNA
Source: RNAcentral